RNAcentral lists this ribosomal RNA (468 nucleotides) under uncultured bacterium. RNAcentral's name for it is "partial 16S ribosomal RNA". It matches the Rfam family "Bacterial small subunit ribosomal RNA", at positions 28 to 507 of the family's 1533-position model. The record is from RNAcentral.
GACGAACGCUGGCGGCGUGCUUAACACAUGCAAGUCGAACGGAAAGGCCCUGCUUUUGUGGGGUGCUCGAGUGGCGAACGGGUGAGUAACACGUGAGUAACCUGCCCUUGACUUUGGGAUAACUUCAGGAAGCUGGGGCUAAUACCGGAUAGGAGCUCCUGCUGCAUGGUGGGGGUUGGAAAGUUUCGGCGGUUGGGGAUGGACUCGCGGCUUAUCAGCUUGUUGGUGGGGUAGUGGCUUACCAAGGCUUUGACGGGUAGCCGGCCUGAGAGGGUGACCGGCCACAUUGGGACUGAGAUACGGCCCAGACUCCUACGGGAGGCAGCAGGGGGGAAUAUUGCACAAUGGGCGGAAGCCUGAUGCAGCAACGCCGCGUGCGGGAUGACGGCCUUCGGGUUGUAAACCGCUUUCGCCUGUGACGAAGCGUGAGUGACGGUAAUGGGUAAAGAAGCACCGGCUAACUACGUG